Molecule: ribosomal RNA, 301 nt
Filed under: uncultured bacterium
Lineage: Bacteria
Description: partial 16S ribosomal RNA
Rfam family: Bacterial small subunit ribosomal RNA
Source: RNAcentral
CAGCAGCCGCGGGAAUACGUAGGGUGCGAGCGUUAAUCGGAAUUACUGGGCGUAAAGCGUGCGCAGGCGGUUGUGUAAGACAGGUGUGAAAUCCCCGGGCUUAACCUGGGAACUGCGCUUGUGACUGCACAGCUAGAGUAUGGCAGAGGGGGGUGGAAUUCCACGUGUAGCAGUGAAAUGCGUAGAGAUGUGGAGGAACACCGAUGGCGAAGGCAGCCCCCUGGGCCAAUACUGACGCUCAUGCACGAAAGCGUGGGGAGCAAACAGGAUUAGAUACCCGUGUAGUCCCUGUCUCUUAUAC